AUGGGCUCCGGGCUCCUCUGCUGCGUGGCCCUCUGCCUCCUGGGAGCAGGCCCCUUGGACGCAGCAGUUUUCCAGACUCCAAAGUACCUCGUCGCACAGGUGGGAAAUGCGAAGUCCCUAAGAUGUGAACAGAAGCUGAGCCGUGAUGCUAUGCACUGGUAUAAGCAGGACGCCCAGCACGGACUGCAGGCCACGUUCACCUACAGUAAUAAGAAACUCAUUGUAAACGAGACAGUUCCAAGUCGUUUCUCCCCCAAAUCUCUGGACAAAGCUCAUUUGAAUCUUCAUGUGGACUCCUUGGAGCCAGGCGACUCUGCUGUGUACUCUGUGCCAGCAGCCGUGACACAGCCCUGCAAAGUCACCGCCUCCCUGUGCACAAACCCCUUGCCGAGCCAGGAAGCUGUGGGGACAGCAGAGGUCACGCCCCUGUGA
Non-coding RNA from Pteropus alecto (black flying fox), 432 nucleotides. The record is from the annotation of a RefSeq genome assembly. NCBI's taxonomy places the organism in Eukaryota, Metazoa, Chordata, Mammalia, Chiroptera, Pteropodidae.